RNAcentral lists this ribosomal RNA (2894 nucleotides) under Acinetobacter baumannii. RNAcentral's name for it is "23S ribosomal RNA". It matches the Rfam family "Bacterial large subunit ribosomal RNA". Lineage: Bacteria; Pseudomonadati; Pseudomonadota; Gammaproteobacteria; Moraxellales; Moraxellaceae. The record is from RNAcentral.
AGUCAAGUAAUUAAGUGCAUGUGGUGGAUGCCUUGGCAGUCAGAGGCGAUGAAAGACGUGAUAGCCUGCGAAAAGCUCCGGGGAGGCGGCAAAUAUCCUUUGAUCCGGAGAUGUCUGAAUGGGGGAACCCACCUACUUUAAGGUAGGUAUUGCAACAUGAAUACAUAGUGUUGCAAGGCGAACGAGGGGAAGUGAAACAUCUCAGUACCCUUAGGAAAAGAAAUCAAUUGAGAUUCCCUCAGUAGCGGCGAGCGAACGGGGAUCAGCCCAUUAAGUUAUGUGUGUUUUAGUGGAACGCUCUGGGAAGUGCGAACGUAGAGGGUGAUAUUCCCGUACACGAAAGGGCACACAUAAUGAUGACGAGUAGGGCGAGGCACGUGAAACCUUGUCUGAAUAUGGGGGGACCAUCCUCCAAGGCUAAAUACUCCUGACUGACCGAUAGUGAACCAGUACCGUGAGGGAAAGGCGAAAAGAACCCCUGUGAGGGGAGUGAAAUAGAUCCUGAAACCGCAUGCAUACAAGCAGUGGGAGCACCUUCGUGGUGUGACUGCGUACCUUUUGUAUAAUGGGUCAGCGACUUAUAUUCAGUAGCGAGGUUAACCGUAUAGGGGAGCCGUAGAGAAAUCGAGUCUUAAUAGGGCGUUUAGUUGCUGGGUAUAGACCCGAAACCAGGCGAUCUAUCCAUGAGCAGGUUGAAGGUUGGGUAACACUAACUGGAGGACCGAACCCACUGUCGUUGAAAAGCCAGGGGAUGACUUGUGGAUAGGGGUGAAAGGCUAAUCAAGCCUGGUGAUAGCUGGUUCUCCCCGAAAGCUAUUUAGGUAGCGCCUCGGACGAAUACCAUAGGGGGUAGAGCACUGUUUCGGCUAGGGGGUCAUCCCGACUUACCAAACCGAUGCAAACUCCGAAUACCUAUGAGUACUAUCCGGGAGACAGACUGCGGGUGCUAACGUCCGUAGUCAAGAGGAAAACAAUCCAGACCGCCAGCUAAGGCCCCAAAAUCAUAGUUAAGUGGGAAACGAUGUGGGAAGGCAUAGACAGCUAGGAGGUUGGCUUAGAAGCAGCCACCCUUUAAAGAAAGCGUAAUAGCUCACUAGUCGAGUCGGCCUGCGCGGAAGAUGUAACGGGGCUAAAACUAUGUGCCGAAGCUGCGGAUGUAUACUUUGUAUACGUGGUAGGGGAGCGUUCUGUAAGCCGAUGAAGGUGUGUUGAGAAGCAUGCUGGAGGUAUCAGAAGUGCGAAUGCUGACGUGAGUAACGACAAAACGGGUGAAAAACCCGUUCGCCGAAAGACCAAGGGUUCCAGUCCAACGUUAAUCGGGGCUGGGUGAGUCGACCCCUAAGGCGAGGCCGAAAGGCGUAGUCGAUGGGAAAAUGGUUAAUAUUCCAUUACUUCUGUGUAAUGCGAUGAGAGGACGGAGAAGGCUAAAUCAGCCUGGCGUUGGUUGUCCAGGUGAAAGGAUGUAGGCAUGUAUCUUAGGCAAAUCCGGGGUACUCUAUGCUGAGAUCUGAUAGCAAGCUGUACUUGUACAGCGAAGUGGUUGAUGCCAUGCUUCCAGGAAAAGUCUCUAAGCUUCAGUUACACAGGAAUCGUACCCGAAACCGACACAGGUGGUCAGGUCGAGUAGACCAAGGCGCUUGAGAGAACUCUGCUGAAGGAACUAGGCAAAAUGGUACCGUAACUUCGGGAGAAGGUACGCUGUUGUUGGUGAUGGAACUCGCUUCCUGAGCUGACGACAGCCGCAGAAACCAGGCCGCUGCAACUGUUUAUUAAAAACAUAGCACUCUGCAAACACGAAAGUGGACGUAUAGGGUGUGAUGCCUGCCCGGUGCUGGAAGGUUAAUUGAUGGGGUUAGCGUAAGCGAAGCUCUUGAUCGAAGCCCCAGUAAACGGCGGCCGUAACUAUAACGGUCCUAAGGUAGCGAAAUUCCUUGUCGGGUAAGUUCCGACCUGCACGAAUGGCAUAAUGAUGGCGGCGCUGUCUCCAGCAGAGGCUCAGUGAAAUCGAAAUCGCUGUGAAGAUGCAGUGUACCCGCGGCUAGACGGAAAAGACCCCGUGAACCUUUACUGCAGCUUGACACUGAACUUUGACCUUACUUGUGUAGGAUAGGUGGGAGGCUUUGAAGCUGGAACGCUAGUUCCAGUGGAGCCGUCCUUGAAAUACCACCCUGGUAAUGUUGAGGUUCUAACUCUGUCCCGUGAUCCGGGACGAGGACCGUGUCUGGUGGGUAGUUUGACUGGGGCGGUCUCCUCCUAAAGAGUAACGGAGGAGUACGAAGGUGCGCUCAGCGUGGUCGGAAAUCACGCGUAGAGUAUAAAGGCAAAAGCGCGCUUAACUGCGAGACCCACAAGUCGAGCAGGUACGAAAGUAGGUCUUAGUGAUCCGGUGGUUCUGUAUGGAAGGGCCAUCGCUCAACGGAUAAAAGGUACUCUGGGGAUAACAGGCUGAUACCGCCCAAGAGUUCAUAUCGACGGCGGUGUUUGGCACCUCGAUGUCGGCUCAUCUCAUCCUGGGGCUGAAGCAGGUCCCAAGGGUAUGGCUGUUCGCCAUUUAAAGAGGUACGCGAGCUGGGUUUAGAACGUCGUGAGACAGUUCGGUCCCUAUCUACCGUGGGCGCUGGAAAUUUGAGAGGAUCUGCUCCUAGUACGAGAGGACCAGAGUGGACGAACCUCUGGUGUACCGGUUGUGACGCCAGUCGCAUCGCCGGGUAGCUAUGUUCGGAAGGGAUAACCGCUGAAAGCAUCUAAGCGGGAAGCCUACCUCAAGAUAAGAUUUCCCUAGGACUUUAUGUCCUCUAAAGAGCCGUUCGAGACUAGGACGUUGAUAGGUUGGAUGUGGAAGCAUAGUGAUAUGUGAAGCUGACCAAUACUAAUUGCUCGUGAGGCUUGACUAU